Non-coding RNA from Coprococcus eutactus CAG:665, 342 nucleotides. The record is from Rfam. NCBI's taxonomy places the organism in Bacteria, Bacillati, Bacillota, Clostridia, Lachnospirales, Lachnospiraceae.
GGGGUUGACUGGUUUCGACAGGGGUUUUGAAGCUAUGGAAGCCAUCCGUGGACCAGAGCCACGCUAAAAGCUGGACAAAAAAUAAACGCUAACGAUAAUUUAGCAUACGCUGCCUAGUUGCAGCCGUCAUCCUUUAGGAACGCCGAGCCUUUAGGAAUGGCGUCGACUUUCGGCAAACUCCUGCAUCUAAGCUUUGCGAUGUAGGAAAAUCCAUGAAGCUACUAAGGUCUAUAGCAUGUUAGUGGGCGAUAGGCUGAGGGAAUGUUAAAGCACUGACUGUGAUGGAAGAAACUGUAGUGAAUGAGCUUUUGGACGGGGGUUCGACUCCCCCCAGCUCCACUA